Long non-coding RNA from Cercocebus atys (sooty mangabey), 8856 nucleotides. RefSeq lists it as uncharacterized. The record is from RefSeq and is a predicted model, not a curated record. The transcript is spliced from 3 exons. Lineage: Eukaryota; Metazoa; Chordata; Mammalia; Primates; Cercopithecidae.
UGCUAUGACUGUAAGCUUCCUGAGGCCUCCCCAGCAAAAGAGAUUGCAACCUUGUGGAGGGCAGAGGCUGUGUCUGCCUCAUCUGUGCAUUUCCACCACCCAAUCCAUAGUAGAUGUUUCUUGAAUAAAUGAUCUUAUUUCCUUUGUGAGCAGUUACGGUGGAUCCCAGGUAAGGGUGUCUGUUUGUAUGUACCAAGAGUAACCCUAGUCUUUCAGAGCAACAGAAUUCCCAUCUUUUGUGACUUAGCCAGGGCAAGAAUUCUGGUCAGAAGUAUUUGCCAUUUAAAUGUGUUUCUCUGGAUAGGAUUAAUAUUCCUCUUUUGGCUUUUUUAUAAUGGUUCAUUUAUUGUAUAUUCUAGUCAUAGGCUUCACCAUGCAAAUAGAGAAAUAUCUAGAAGGUUGCAUAUAUCUUUGAAUCCUGACAUGUCAACUGUUUGUCCCCUCUACUCUGUAGGUUUGGUAUAUAAAUGACAUUUACCAUUGCCUAAGAACUACUAGGAACUUCUGCCCGCCCUGUGCUUCAUCUUGUUAUGUCAGAUAUAGCAUCUUCCAUAUAAUUCUGUUUUGCAGUAUAUUUGGCCUUUUUACCUCUCUCUGACAAAAACCCUGUUUCUACUCUUGUUGAUCAGGGCAGAAUUGUCUGCCAAAUACAUUCUUCCCAGUCUUUGUGACGUGUAGCCAGAUUCUACAGAUUCUAGCCAGGACAUUUGUUCUGAUGUCAUAGGCCACAGUCUAGGAAAUUAACAUCUUCUCUUCAACGCUGUCUCUAGCUGUUCACUCCCUUAGCCUCCUUUCUUUUCCAAAGACAUGACGUUCAGCUGGAAUAGCUGAAAACAUCACCUGUGUCCUGAGUGCCCAUUUACAAUUUUCCAUACAGAACACUGGGGUCUCUGGGCACCCAACCCACCAUUCGUUUCCAUGGGGGGGCAGUGAAUGGUGAGAUUCAGGGGUCUUAUCUUGUAUAUUGCCACAUACCCUCUCUACUGUGGUCUUGUGACUGACUGUCCAUGCAUAGGUGCCUCUGGAUGGCACAGGUCAAACUCUUCCUGACAUAAUUUCCUCCAGGAAUAAUAAUGGGGUUCUUUUAUGUGAUAGCCCCUAAAAAUCUCUUUUAUUGUUCUUAGAGCAUGAAAUGAUACUUUUUAUCAAAAUAUCUCAUAGCAUGCUCCACUACAAUCUCUGUGGAAUUUCCUCCUUUCUUCUCAUUCACAUAACUUCUGACAUCUAUUUCUAUUCAUAAUUUUGGCAUCUUUUUCUACUUGGUUGCUUACUUCCUGGAUUAGUUUUUUCACUUCCUAUUAUGUUCAUUCUCUAAUAAACUAGAAUGUAACAAGGUGAUCCUCAAACUUUUUCUUUCAUUUUUAAUGGCCACUGAAGCUUGAACGUAGAGUAAAUAGAACUCUUAAUCAGAGGAAGACAAACACAAAUAGAUUCCAAAGGUCAGAAAGCUCUAAUCUGUACAUCACUUCCAAGCCUGAAGAACAAGAAAACAUCUUGGAACGGCAGGGAACAAUUGUUUUCAAGCCCCACUGACUGGAACAAAGUAAUGACCUUCUCAUUCAUUUUCUGUUAAAAGUGCUCUGUAUAUUUGAGAAUCUUCAUGUGGCUUCUCAGCAGCUGAUACUGAGACAUUAGAAAGCCCAUAAUCAGCACCAUGAUGUUGUUAAAAGAACACCAGCAGAGGGGCUAUAAGAGAUUGAGCAGGCCACUCAUCCUGUUUGAGAAUUCCGCUAUCUGUGAACUGGGGAUGAUAAUAAUAUCUGGCCUUCUAAGUUCUGCUCUCUGGCCUGAGGCUCAACCUCUUCACCUCAUGAAUGACACCAGGAAGAUUCAGCCUUCAGGAAAAAGAGUGCCCCUACUCAACUCUGAAAUCACAACUUUACCUGAAGAGUCCAUCAGGACAACACAACAGAAGAAAAAAUAAUAAAACCAACAUCUAUACAUACAUGCCUUGUAUAAUAGCUGAUUGAGACGGAGGUAGAAAGAAUUGACAUUUCUUUGCACUAGGGUAUUUUAUACUAGGGUACAAAAUAGCUUGAAGUAGAACCUAUCUUUUCAGCUUACAGCUUUCGAUAGCCAUGCUAUCCUUAAUUGGUUGGUUGAUUUUCUAUCUACAAUUCUUUAUUAUACUGUGAAAUAAUAAGAAAUACACAUAUUGUCCCCAGUUUCUGGCAUAGAGCUGCUAAAAUCCUUGCAAUUUCCUGAACAAUAGGGAUGCUAGGAGGAUCUUUAGUUCUAAUAUUUGGUCUUCGAGCCUGGUUCUUGACACAGAGCUCCUAAAUCUCUAGGAAUUUCCUGGGUGAUAGAAACAUCUUUUGUUCUUUUGAGGUUACUCUUGGUAGGCUCCUGGAUAUGGGCCGGUCACUAGAAAGAUCAAGCCAUGAUUAUAAGCUUGGAACUUUCAGCCCCAGCCCCCAUUCUCCAGAGAGGGGAGAGUGGCUGGAAAUGGAGUGAAAAAUAAAUAAUGCCUACGUGAUGAUGCCUCCAUAAAUAUCCCUAAACUGUGGGGUUUGGAGAGUUUCUGGUUUGGCAAAUGCAUCCAUGUGCCAGCAGCACGGCACACCCCAAUUCUAUAGGGUCAGAAUCUUCUGUACUUUGCGACCCUUUUCAGCUUCACCCUACAUAUCUCUCCCACCUGUCUGUUCAUCUAUAUUCUUUAUUAUAUCCUUUACUAAUAAACUGGUAAAUGUAACUUUCCCCGAGUUCUGUGAGCCAUUCUUAAACCCAAGAAGGAAGUAGUGGGAACCACGAUUUACAGCCCACAUACCUAUAUAGUACACUUGUGUAGUAUAGAUAACAUCCUACUACUUGCGAUUGGCAUCAAAAGCUAGGGUAAGUCUUACAGAACUCAGGCCUUAACCUAUGGGAUCUGAUGCUAUCUGCAGGUAUGUAAUGUCAGAAUUGAACUGAAUUGUAAGACAUCCAGCUGGUGUGUGCUAGAGAACUGCUUGUUGUAUGAUAAAAUAUCCCUACACAUCUGGUGUCAGAAGUAUUAUGUUGAGUGGUCUGUGAGAGUAGGAAAAAAAACACUUUGGAUUUAUUUUUCUUAUCUCUAAUAGUACAGUUCAGCCAGAACUACAGAUUCAAUGAUUGUCUACACUGACAAAGCUUGAGAAUCAAAGAGAGAAUGACAUUAGUGGGUACAGACUCAGACACAUGACAUGGAAAUGUAGAGUGAUGGAAUGUAGCCCAGAAAGCCCAAAAAUCUAUGAGCACACAGGAGGAGAUAUAGAUAUGUAUACACACACACCACACACACACACAUACACACACACACACACACUCACACAGGUAUACACCUCCCAAAUGGUAUCAGAGCUGAGAACAAACAGGCGCUGCUAUUCUAUUUUUAAGGCUGUCAUUUUUCAGCAGAUCAGAACAAAGUAAAACACAGUAGGAGAAAAAAGCGAACUAAGGGUUCUAUUGCUUUUGUUUGAAGUCAUCCAUGCUGAAGUUGAUUUUAAUUUAAAUGUGGGGUUAGUUUACCUUGGGGGUCAUAGUGCAUGUGCAAGCUAGGACCCUCAGCAAUUAUCUUGCACCAUGUAAAAAUCAACGAACCUGUGCACUUGAGGAAAGGCUAUUUGUUACUUUUUCACUAGAAAUAAAUUAACCAGCCAACUCAAGGAUACAUACACUUAAUGACAGUGACAAAAACGAGUCGAUAUCUUCUUUACUGACUUCCCCCAGCAAAUGUAACGGAGAGUUGACUUUCCUGGGUUGGUAUCUAGAAAGGUAAGCCUGAAUGGUUAUUUUUUAAAUAAUCUCUCAUGUGUAAACAGAAUGUACUUCCCUGUUUUGUAUUUGACACUUGCACCAAUGUAGUGAUUUUAAAGUAAACAAUUUUGGACUAGAAUCCUCAUGACUUGCUAUGGUCUAAAUGUUUGUUUCCCCACAAAAUUCAUGUCUUAAAACCUAAUCACCAAGGUGAUGGUAUUAGGAGGUGGAGUCUGUGGGAGAUGAUUAGGUCAGGAGAGCUCUCCACUCAUGCAUAGGAUUAGUGCCCUUAUGAAAAAGACCCCAGAGAACUAGUUAGAGGGCGACCCUUCCACCAUGUGAGGACAUGACAAGAAGUCAGCAGUCUGCAACCCAGAAGAGCGCCCUCAUCAGAUGCUGAAUCUACAGGCAUCUUAAUCUUGGACUUCUUAGUCUCCAGAACUGUAGAAAAUAAAUUUCUGUUACUUAUAAGCAACCCAUUUUAGUGUAUUUUGUUAUGGCAGCCUGGACAGACUAAGGCAUGACUUUUCCCAAUGACCUACUGUGUCUGUGAUUUAUUGAUGUAUUCCAAUUUGAGGAAAACCCAUUAGAGACAGUCCUUGCUUCAUAAAAUUGAAGAAUUGUGAAUAAAGAAAAUAUUGGUAGAUUGAAUCUCUUAUGAAAGAUACUAGUUAACUCGUUACAGUGGAGCCUUCACAGUUGCAAGAGGUGCCCUGAGAGCAGGUGGCCACAUAUGGCUAUGCAGAGGAGCACUGCCCCAUGCCAGGUCACACCUCUUAAACAGACCUGAGAUCUCCAGAAAAUGCCAAAGUUGCUUUAAUGCCAUGUUUCUUCAUUUAUCACAUGGGGAGAGUAAAUGCAUCCUCACUGAGCUGAGAGGAUUAAAAGAUACUUUCAUAUUAAUUGAGAACAACAAAACUGGACUGAGAUGCGGGUGCUUGUUUUGCACGAAGUGAUCAGCCUCUGCACAUCAUCUUCGUAGCUCAGAAGAUUCAAAUUAAAAAGAAAUCAUGAACUACCUAUCAUGAGUCACUUGCAAAUAGCUACAACUAUGAACAGUAAAUGAAGCCAUGAAUUCUUACAUUGAAAGGAAUUCAUGAUUACAACUUUUAAUUUGAGGGUCAAUACAAUUAGAUUCUCAAGUUAGAGUACACCUUUGUAGAUUUCAGAAUAAUUCUAUUCCUCAGAGGAGUCUUCAUAUGAUCAAAGAUUCACCAUAUUGUUCUCAUCUUAAAUUGUUUUUAGAGACAGGGUUUUGCUGUUGUCUAAGCUGGUCUCAAACUCCUGGGCUCAAGCAAUCCUGUCUCAGUCUCCCAAAAUGCUGGGGUUACAGGAAUGAGCCACCACCCCUGACCAUAGAAUUUUCUUAAUAGUGAGAUUCCCACAUAAUUUUAAGUCUCUUUAAAUAACCUGAUUUUGUAGAACCACACUGCGGUGAAUUCUUGCUACAUUCGUGCCCAGAAGGAUAUACUAUUGAUCACAUCAAGAGAUAGUUCUGAAUUCUUGGGUAAUUAAUGUCCUUGGAACAGGUUCAAGAUUGGAGUCCACUAGAAAAGGUCAAACUCUAAAUGAGUGCAUUUUGUAAAAAGAGAUACAUAAUUAGAGUCAGAGAUUAUUUAUUUAUUUAUUUUUGCCAACUGAAACAACUAUGGUGGCUUCAGAGAUUUCUGAUUCAGUGGCCUUAAGUGUUUCAUGCAAACUUUCAUUUAGACAGUCCUCAGAUCUCCAGGGCAUCCUAUAUGUAGUAAUGGGUUAUUUCAAAAGCUGCUACUAAAAACCUCCUGAAUAUUCUACAUGUACACAUAUUGAGGUUAUACAGAUACAGUUUGUUUCGAGACAUAAGAAAGAAGAUAACAAAUAGCAUUAUGGAUGGUGUAUUGAGAAUCACUAUCUUAUGUUCUAGCUACAUAGUGAGUCAAAAUAUUCAAUUGCAAAGUGACAACUUCCAUUUGCCCUUUAUCUGCCUGGAAUUUUCUGACAGUUUCUCCUACAGGUUUUUGAGUUCUUUGGUAUCAUAUAGGUUUAGUCUUUACAGCACAAAGCUGGGUUCCUUUCAGCUGCUCCUGUCUUUGUCUCAGAUGCCCCAUUCAAUUCAAGAUAUAUGUCUUUUUGCUUCUGUGAAAAUGUAAUCUUUUAAGUGACUCACAGAAUAAGAAAAAACAAAUUGAGUUAGAAGCCUGACAAACACCCAGAUCAGCCAGCCUCACCCAAUUCAGUCCAAGGAGGUUUGACAAGUUGCUAUACAAAAAAGCAGUCUUUUGGAGGCAAAACUGCUUGCCAGUGUGCACAUCAACUCUGACAGAGGGCAAAACACCAGCUGCCUGAAUACGCUCUCAGGCUGCAUCUCCAGGAGCAAAAAGGGCUCUUCAGUUUCAGCAAAGUGAACCGUCCUCCCCCCAGCUAAUCAAAACGCCCCUUGGUUGGCAGAUCGAAAUAUCCUUCAAUCCAGUAAGCCUGCAUGCAUGACUUUUCACAGCUAACCUCUGCCCAGGGAGAAGUCAAUAAAGAAACAAAAUGCAAAUAAAUUAGCAUUCAUCACUGCUGAUCUAGUAUAAAUAUUUAUAAGGGAAAGAUGCAGCGAUUUUGAGUGAUACCAUGAUCUGGACCCCACAUAAACAGUUAAAAACAGCCAUACUUGAGAUAUUGCACUUUGCAUUUUUUUUUUCCAUUUCACAUCACCAUAAUCACCCAAUAAAUAUUUAAAUGGACCCAUUUGCUGUAACUAUAAAAGAACCGUGUAAACUUGUUGUCAUCUAGACACAUUAGCCGUGGUGGAGUCAAUGAAUUUCAACAGUCACUUAAUAUCGCAGCCACUAGCUACCUUAAAACUGCCAGCGAGGGCCUGCCAGGAAGCUACUGUAACAGCCCAGAUCACUGCCUCCUGAGCAAGACACGAGCUUCAUUAUGAAUGCGAGCAUUGCUGCUCUAAUUAGGCCUGGGAGAGGUUUAACAACCAUCCUACAGUCUUGCUGCUGACAAAUAUAAAAAUAAAGCCUUGUUCGAAUUAGCAAUGUGAAGUGAGAAGGUCUAGAAGCACCAACUGUCUGAGCGGCCCUGGGACGGCUCUAAUCUAUAGUGAGGUUAUUUUGGUUCAUAAACUGCUAGUAUGUUACCUGCAGGAGGUCUCCCCUGUAAAAUGAAUUAUAGUAAGCUAUAUGUGAUAAUUAACCAUGCAUUAGCAAAUAUCUUGAAACAGGGAGGCUCUGUUUUCUCUGUAUUUUGACUAAUAAAAGCAUGAAUUUGUUCAACAAAUGAUCAUUUAGGUUGUGGAAUUCUAACCAUAUUGGAAGGACACAGUGAGCAAUACAACAUUGUGCUGGUCUAAGGGUUUCCUUACCCAAACAGGCUGCUUAAUAGGCUGGCUCCAUACUAUGAUGCUAUUCACAGACCUAAAAACCACAGCGUUGAGAAGACAAAUACAAUAUACAUUUAAAAUAAUAUGAACCUUGUGUUCUUAUUUACUUUAAAAUCACCCUAUAUGUGACAAUUAAAAAAAUACAUGGGUAAAGUUCUAUUUCAGAAAGUAACCUUAUGUUUUGUUUAAAAUAUUUAAAAAGAAUUCCCAUGACUUUUCAACAAUUAAAAAAAUAUAUAUAUCAUUGUACUUUUUUUUUUUUACAGUGUGGGUUUCUAAGAACUUUCUUUAGAUGGUUUCAAACAUGCUCUGGAAAUAAAAACUAGAUCACAACAUUGAAUAAGACAACACUGUCUUCUGAAUUACUUAAUGCAUCAUCCAAAAGAGUACCAGGGAGUAUAUCAUACAGGUAUCAAUGACUUUGAAAGAAGUGUUUUGGGUGCUGCCUUGGGGCUGAAGAGUGGGCUGGGCUGAAUAAAAAGAAUCAAGGGAGGUUGAUGAGAAGAAGCGUCAUCUCCAAUUGUCAGGGCAUUCAUGGAGAACAGGAGUUCAGGUGUUUUUAUCAUUAUAGGAAGCUACAUGAUGCUAAUUUUGUGACCAGAGCCUGCCAGCAAUAGAAGGUACCAAUGAUGCCUUAAAAUUAAUAGAUUUUCCCUUGUCCUGCAAGACACCAAUUGCUUCUUUAUAAAAAGGAAUAUCUUCUCCUUUUUUUCUCCUGAUCUUCUAACCUCACAGCUAAAAUGCAUAUUUAUAUGGAGUAUAUAUAAACACAUGCACACAUACUUACACAGAUCUAAAAAUAAUUCAGACAGACCACGAAGGCAGCUUCGGUGUUUAUUUCAAAUCUGUGACCAAUAGUUCUGCUUUAAAUAGUCUAUCCAAAUCCAUCAAUAAGUUGAGGUUAUCCCUUCUAAGCAGUUCCAAGAGUUUAUAUGUUUAUACCCAAACUGUUUCCAUGGGAUAUUAAUAGAUGUUAGCUAAAAGGAUUCUGUGGUCAGAUAUAUAUGAGAAUCCCUGGAUUAAGUAAAGUGAGAUAGGUUUCUUUACUGUAGGACUUCUCAGAGCCUUUACUACUGCCUUGGGAAAUACUGCCCCAGUGCAAACAUUAGAUACACAUAGCCAGUUCUCAUUAGAAAGAGCAUCUAGUUUUAUAAAAAGUUUCACCAGUGAUGCAGAGAUGGAAAGAGAUGUUGUUUCUGAAGAUCUUGAAAGCUUUGUGGGACUAAAAACCAGGACAUUGUUACAGACCAGAACAUCCUAUACUCCUAUACUCAAUGAGAGAACAUUCAAUCCUAAGUGAGACUGAAGUCUUUCUUAGUUUGGCUAAGGGGCAACACUCUUGAUAAUCAAAACAUCCUUCAGUUGCAAGUCAUUCACCCACUUCAGGAUUGUAAGGAAAAUCACAAAGCAAACACAUUUUGUCAUCUCAGCAAAGAAUCCCUUCUUUCCAUUGCAUGUCAAGUCAAAGUAUUUCUACUCGUAAUCACUCAGCACCUCCCAGGAAAAAGAAAAAAAGUGGCUACUGGCUUCCGGGAGGGAGGUAAAAAUACACCCCCUAGCUCUAUACAGUCUUUCUAGCUCUUUCUGAGCAAAAGCGCUCUUUUUUUUAACCUGUCAAUGAAUUGGGUGGUUACAGUGCAGACUAUAAACUCCUAUGAAAGCAGAAAUCUUCAAGUUGAGUGAAGAUCCUGGGAAGGAAAUGGGAAGAGGACUGGUGCUGAAAUAAAAUGAAUUCUGUGAAGUUUGAGGACUUGGUUUUGGUGUGUUUCAUAGCAAUAGUUUUGUCA